This 253-nucleotide ribosomal RNA is filed under the name uncultured bacterium. Its description in RNAcentral is "partial 16S ribosomal RNA". It matches the Rfam family "Bacterial small subunit ribosomal RNA", at positions 524 to 776 of the family's 1533-position model. The record is from RNAcentral.
UACGUAGGUGGCAAGCGUUGUCCGGAUUCACUGGGCGUAAAGGGUGCGUAGGCGGUCGGGUAAGUCUGAUGUGAAAUCUCACAGCUUAACUGUGAAACUGCAUUGGAUACUAUCCGGCUCGAGGAAUGGAGGGGAGACUGGAAUACUUGGUGUAGCAGUGAAAUGCGUAGAUAUCAAGUGGAACACCAGUGGCGAAGGCGAGUCUCUGGACAUUUCCUGACGCUGAGGCACGAAAGCCAGGGGAGCAAACGGG